ACAAGCAGUGGGAGCCCCACCACCAAAGCAUUCUCUGGUGUUGAAGGCCCUGCAAAGCAGCAUCGCGGUGGCGGAGCGUCGUUUGCGACGCCCAACACACAAAACAAGCGGUGAGUGCUUUGGGGUGGGGUGACUGCGUACCUUUUGUAUAAUGGGUCAGCGACUUAUAUUCUGUAGCAAGGUUAACCGAAUAGGGGAGCCGUAGGGAAACCGAGUCUUAAUUGGGCGUUAAGUUGCAGGGUAUAGACCCGAAACCCGGUGAUCUAGCCAUGGGCAGGUUGAAGGUUGGGUAACACUAACUGGAGGACCGAACCGACUAAUGUUGAAAAAUUAGCGGAUGACCUGUGGCUGGGGGUGAAAGGCCAAUCAAACCGGGAGAUAGCUGGUUCUCCCCGAAAGCUAUUUAGGUAGCGCCUCGUGAAUUCAUCUCCGGGGGUAGAGCACUGUUUCGGCUAGGGGGCCAUCCCGGCUUACCAACCCGAUGCAAACUGCGAAUACCGGAGAAUGUUAUCACGGGAGACACACGGCGGGUGCUAACGUCCGUCGUGAAGAGGGAAACAACCCAGACCGCCAGCUAAGGUCCCAAAGUCAUGGUUAAGUGGGAAACGAUGUGGGAAGGCCCAGACAGCCAGGAUGUUGGCUUAGAAGCAGCCAUCAUUUAAAGAAAGCGUAAUAGCUCACUGGUCGAGUCGGCCUGCGCGGAAGAUGUAACGGGGCUAAACCAUGCACCGAAGCUGCGGCAGCGAACGUAUCACCCAAGACAACUUUACGGAGUUGACGAUUGACGGAGCGAAGCGACGUCAAAGCGUAU
RNAcentral lists this ribosomal RNA (811 nucleotides) under Salmonella enterica subsp. enterica serovar Plymouth. Its description in RNAcentral is "partial 23S ribosomal RNA". It matches the Rfam family "Bacterial large subunit ribosomal RNA", at positions 566 to 1252 of the family's 2925-position model. The record is from RNAcentral. Lineage: Bacteria; Pseudomonadati; Pseudomonadota; Gammaproteobacteria; Enterobacterales; Enterobacteriaceae.